GUGGGGAAUAUUGGACAAUGGGCGCAAGCCUGAUCCAGCCAUGCCGCGUGUGUGAAGAAGGCCUUCGGGUUGUAAAGCACUUUUGUUGGGGAAGAAAAGCACUGGGUUAAUACCUUGGUGUCAUGACGGUACCCAAAGAAUAAGCACCGGCUAACUUCGUGCCAGCAGCCGCGGUAAUACGAAGGGUGCAAGCGUUACUCGGAAUUACUGGGCGUAAAGCGUGCGUAGGCGGUUUGUUAAGUCUGAUGUGAAAGCCCUGGGCUCAACCUGGGAAUGGCAUUGGAUACUGGCAACCUAGAAUGUGGUAGAGGGUGGCGGAAUUCCCGGUGUAGCAGUGAAAUGCGUAGAUAUCGGGAGGAACAUCCGUGGCGAAGGCGGCCACCUGGACCAACAUUGACGCUGAGGCACGAAAGCGUGGGGAGCAAACAGGAUUAGAUACCCCUGUAGUCC
Molecule: ribosomal RNA, 450 nt
Filed under: uncultured bacterium
Lineage: Bacteria
Description: bacterial SSU rRNA
Rfam family: Bacterial small subunit ribosomal RNA
Source: RNAcentral